GAUGAACGCUGGCGGCGUGCCUAAUACAUGCAAGUCGAGCGAACGGACGAGAAGCUUGCUUCUCUGAUGUUAGCGGCGGACGGGUGAGUAACACGUGGAUAACCUACUAUAAGACUGGGAUAACUUCGGGAAACCGGAGCUAAUACCGGAUAAUAUUUUGAACCGCAUGGUUCAAAAGUGAAAGACGGUCUUGCUGUCACUUAUAGAUGGAUCCGCGCUGCAUUAGCUAGUUGGUAAGGUAACGGCUUACCAAGGCAACGAUGCAUAGCCUACCUGAGAGGGUGAUCGGCCACACUGGAGCUGAGACACGGUCCAGACUCCUACGGGAGGCAGCAGUAGGGAAUCUUCCGCAAUGGGCGAAAGCCUGACGGAGCAACGCCGCGUGAGUGAUGAAGGUCUUCGGAUCGUAAAACUCUGUUAUUAGGGAAGAACAUAUGUGUAAGUAACUGUGCACAUCUUGACGGUACCUAAUCAGAAAGCCACGGCUAACUACGUG
RNAcentral lists this ribosomal RNA (496 nucleotides) under uncultured bacterium. RNAcentral's name for it is "partial 16S ribosomal RNA". It matches the Rfam family "Bacterial small subunit ribosomal RNA", at positions 28 to 507 of the family's 1533-position model. The record is from RNAcentral.